This 253-nucleotide ribosomal RNA is filed under the name uncultured bacterium. RNAcentral describes it as "partial 16S ribosomal RNA". It matches the Rfam family "Bacterial small subunit ribosomal RNA", at positions 524 to 776 of the family's 1533-position model. The record is from RNAcentral.
UACGUAGGGGGCAAGCGUUGUCCGGAAUCAUUGGGCGUAAAGGGCGCGUAGGCGGCCUGCUAAGUCGAACGUGAAAUCCCUGGGCUCAACCCAGGAACUGCGUCCGAUACUGGUUGGCUUGAAUUCGGGAGAGGGAUGCAGAAUUCCAGGUGUAGCGGUGAAAUGCGUAGAUAUCUGGAGGAAUACCGGUGGCGAAGGCGGCAUCCUGGACCGAGAUUGACGCUGAUGAGCGAAAGCUAGGGGAGCAAACGGG